GACGAACGCUGGCGGCGUGCUUAACACAUGCAAGUCGAACGGUGAAGCGCCUUCCUUUUUGGUGGGUGUGGAUGAGUGGCGAACGGGUGAGUAACACGUGAGUAACCUGCCCCCUUCUUCUGGAUAACCGCAUGAAAGUGUGGCUAAUACGGGAUAUUCUGGGUCUGUCGCAUGAUGGGUCUGGGAAAGAUAUUGUUUCGGUGGGGGAUGGGCUCGCGGCCUAUCAGCUUGUUGGUGGGGUGAUGGCCUACCAAGGCGGUGACGGGUAGCCGGCCUGAGAGGGUGGACGGGCACACUGGGACUGAGGCACGGCCCAGACUCCGACGGGAGGCAGCAGUGGGGAAUAUUGCACGAUGGGCGCAAGCCUGAUGCAGCGACGCCGCGUGAGGGAUGGAGGCCUUCGGGUUGAGAACCUCUUUCGCCAGUGAAGCAGGCCUGCCUCGUUUGUGGGUGGGUUGACGGUAGCUGGAUAAGAAGCGCCGGCUAACUACGUG
This 494-nucleotide ribosomal RNA is filed under the name uncultured bacterium. Its description in RNAcentral is "partial 16S ribosomal RNA". It matches the Rfam family "Bacterial small subunit ribosomal RNA", at positions 28 to 507 of the family's 1533-position model. The record is from RNAcentral.